RNAcentral lists this long non-coding RNA (1494 nucleotides) under Gopherus agassizii (Agassiz's desert tortoise). RNAcentral describes it as "lncRNA (ENSGAGG00000012718.1)". The record is from RNAcentral. Lineage: Eukaryota; Metazoa; Chordata; Testudines; Testudinidae.
AGAAGAUCAUCCAUGGGGAAUAGUUGGAGAGAUAGACAGGUAUGUGUUGGGAUGGAUAGGUGUAUAUAGAGAUAUCUGGACAGCCGGCCAGUAGUUCUGGUGCUAAAGUUGUUGAGAACUUGGAUUUGCAAGAAAAGAACCGACAGCAGGUUCUGGUCCCCAGCUGCCUGACCCACACUCCCUGCAGGAGUCCCUACAGGACCUGACAGGAGGCACGUCUCAUUUCUGGGUCGGACUGUCCCUCCACUCCCCGGAGAAGGCCUGGACCUGGUUGAACGGCUCCCGGCUGGAUCAGACCCAGUUUCCGGUGUCAGGCCCGGCUGAGGGGAACAGCUGUGGCGCGCUGGCAGGGAAACAGCUUAAUUCUGACACCUGCAGCUCUGCAUUUCAGUGGAUUUGCCAGCGAGACGCCGUCCCACUCCAAACAGGGUACGGGGGACACCUCAGAGCACAGCUCCAUAUCCCACAUGUCACACAUGGGGAAACCAACACACAGACACAGAGGCCUGGUCUACACUACACGUUUAAACCGAAUUUAGCAGAGUUAAACUGAUUUAACCCUGCACCCGUCCACACAGCGAGGCCCUUUAUGUCCAUAUAAAGGGCUCUUUAAAAAGGUUUCUGUAUUCCUCCCCGACGAGAGGAGUAGCACUGAAAUCGGUAUUGCCAUGUUGGAUUAGGGUUAGUGUGGCCGCAAAUCGAUGGUAUUGGCCUCCAGGCGGUAUCCCACAGUGCACCAUUGUGGCCGCUCUGAAAAGCAAUCUGAACUCGGAUGCACUGGCCUGGUAAACAGGAAAAGUCCCGCGAAUUUUUGAAUGUCAUUUUCUGUUUUCCCAGCAUGGAGCUCUGAUGAGCACGGGUGGCGAUGCAGUCCCAAAUCCAGAAAGAGCUCCAGCAUGGGCCGUACGGGAGAUACUGGAUCUGAUCGCUGUAUGGGGAGACAAAUCUCUUCUAUCAGAGCUCCGUUACAGAAGACGAAAUGACAAAGCAUUUGAAAAAAUCUCCAGGCUGUGAUAGACAGAGGCCACAGCACAGUGCUGUGUGACAAGCGUAACGGAAAGCCAAAGAAUCAAAUGGGCGCUCAUGGAGGGAGGGAGAGAGGACUGACGACUCCAGCUAUCCCACAGUCCCCAGCAGUCUCCAAAAAGUAUUUGCAUUCUUGGCUGAGCUCCCGUGCCUGUAGGGUCAAACACGUUGUCCGGGGUGGUUCAGGGUAUAUCUCGUCAAUUUACCUGCUCCACCCCCCGUGAAAGAAAAGGGAAAAAAAUCGUUUCUUGACUUUUUUCAAUGUCACUGUAUGUCUACUGCAUGCUGCUGGUAGACGUGGUGCUGCGGCAAUGAACAGCAGCAUCAUCUCCUCUCCUCUCCUCUCCGGUGGUAAAGUGCAAAAGGACUGAUAGCCAUCCUUGUCAUCAUCCCAUGAGUGCUCCUGGCUGGCCUCAGGUGAGGUCGGCCGGGGUUGCCUGGGUAAAAGCAGGAAUGACUCCCGGGUCA